Molecule: ribosomal RNA, 461 nt
Filed under: uncultured bacterium
Lineage: Bacteria
Description: partial 16S ribosomal RNA
Rfam family: Bacterial small subunit ribosomal RNA
Source: RNAcentral
GAUAAACGCUGGCGGCGUGCUUAACACAUGCAAGUCGAACGAAGUUUUUCUUUCGGGAGGAACUUAGUGGCGGACGGGUGAGUAACGCGUGGGUAACCUGCCCUGUACAGGGGGACAACAGCUGGAAACGGCUGCUAAUACCGCAUAAGCCCUUAGCACUGCAUGGUGCAUAGGGAAAAGGAGCAAUCCGGUACAGGAUGGACCCGCGUCUGAUUAGCCAGUUGGCAGGGUAACGGCCUACCAAAGCGACGAUCAGUAGCCGAUCUGAGAGGAUGUACGGCCACAUUGGGACUGAGACACGGCCCAGACUCCUACGGGAGGCAGCAGGGGGGAAUAUUGCACAAUGGAGGAAACUCUGAUGCAGCGACGCCGCGUGAGUGAAGAAGUAUUUCGGUAUGUAAAGCUCUAUCAGCAGGAAAGAAAAUGACGGUACCUGACUAAGAAGCCCCGGCUAAAUACGU